Molecule: ribosomal RNA, 2419 nt
Filed under: Triticum aestivum (bread wheat)
Lineage: Eukaryota; Viridiplantae; Streptophyta; Magnoliopsida; Poales; Poaceae
Description: partial small subunit ribosomal RNA
Source: RNAcentral
AGGGAGCAAAGCUGUCGCUCGCCAGGCGUAGGCGGAACACGCGCCUCCCAUCGUCCGCCCAACAACAAACGUUCCAGAUUCCGAUCGUCCAACCAAUCAGCCACGCAGCCUACACUGCGCACAGCUACGCCAUGGCAUUGGCGACGCCGCUCCGCCACCUCCUCGCCGCGGCCCCCGACCCCGCCACCGGUGCGCCGCCGUCCCUGCAGGCGCAGCCAGCGCGCGCCUUCCCGCCCCACCGCCGCCUCCUUCUCCGCUCCAUCAGGCUCGUCGCGGCGCCGUCAUCGGAUGCCACGAGGCACGCGGGGGUCGCGGCGAGGGCGGCGGGCGGGGGCCGGCCGACGGUGCUGGUGACGGAGAAGCUGGGCGCGGCGGGGCUGGAGCUGCUGCGGGCGUUCGCCAACGUGGACUGCGCGUACGAGCUGACGGCGGAGGAGCUACGCGCCAAGGUGUCGCUGGUGGACGCGCUGGUGGUGCGCAGCGCCACGCGGGUGACGCGGGAGGUCUUCGAGGCCGCGCGCGGGCGCCUGCGCGUCGUGGGCCGCGCCGGCGUCGGCAUCGACAACGUCGACCUCCAGGCCGCCACCGAGGCCGGCUGCCUCGUCGUCAACGCGCCCACCGCCAACACCGUCGCCGCCGCCGAGCACGCCGUCGCGCUGCUCGCCGCCAUGGCCCGCAACGUCGCCCAGGCCGACGCCUCGCUCAAGGCCGGCAAAUGGCAGCGUAGCAAAUAUGUUGGUGUUUCCUUGGUUGGAAAGACGAUAGCUAUUAUGGGCUUCGGGAAGGUUGGCUCAGAAGUAGCUCGGCGCGCGAAAGGACUUGGAAUGGAUGUCAUUGCUCAUGAUCCAUACGCUCCCGUUGACAGAGCCCGGGCUAUCGGUGUGGAUCUUGUAUCGUUCGAUGAUGCCAUCUCUACUGCAGACUUCAUAUCACUGCAUAUGCCUCUAACACCGUCAACAACAAAAAUAUUCAACGAUGAGACUUUUGCAAAAAUGACGAAAGGAGUAAGGCUUAUCAAUGUUGCGAGGGGUGGAGUGGUCGAUGAAGAAGCAUUGCUGAGAGCACUUGAUAACGGGACUGUUGCACAGGCAGCACUCGAUGUGUUUUUUGAAGAGCCACCGCCAAAAGACAGCAAGUUAGUACACCAUGAAAAUGUCACGGUGACGCCGCACCUUGGAGCUAGCACAACAGAAGCACAGGAAGGCGUUGCCCUUGAAAUCGCAGAGGCUGUUAUCGGUGCGUUGAAAGGUGAACUUGCUGCCACUGCUGUCAAUGCCCCAAUGGUCUCUGCUGAGGUUUUAGCCGAGUUAUCCCCAUAUGUCAUCCUUGCUGAGAAGUUGGGACGUCUCGCCGUGCAACUCGUGGCUGGUGGCAGUGGGAUCAAGGCAGUCAAGAUUGUCUACUCAUCAGCUAGAGACCCGGAUGACCUGGACACAAGAAUUCUCCGUGCCAUGGUCACGAAAGGGAUCGUCGAACCCAUUUCAAGUGCAUUUGUUAACAUGGUGAAUGCUGACUAUGUUGCUAAGCAACGAGGGCUCCGCAUAAUCGAAGAGCAGAUUCUCCUCGACGGCUCCCCCGAGGUCCCUAUAAACUCCAUCCAGGUCCAGCUUGCCAAUGUGGAGUCCAAGUUCGCUGGCGCGUUGUCUGACGACGGCGACAUCAGGGUGGAGGGCAAGGUUAAGGAUGGCACGCCGCAUCUCACGCUCGUCGGCCCUUUCAGCGUCGACGUCAGCCUUGAGGGCAACCUGUUGCUGUGCCGGCAAGUCGACCAGCCGGGCAUCAUCGGCAAGGUGGGAUCGAUUCUUGGGACGAUGAACCUGAAUGUCAACUUUAUGAGCGUUGGCAGGAUUGCUCCUGGGAAGCAGGCCAUCAUGGCCAUUGGGAUUGAUGAGGAGCCUGACAAGGAAGCUCUCAAGUUGAUCGGGGAGACGCCGUCGGUACAGGAGUUUGUCUUUCUUAAGCUUUAGAGAAUGUAGGUUGAUUUCUACUCCUAUAUAACAUCUCCUGCUUUACUAGUAUGAUGAGUGGUUUUUUGCAAGCUUAUUUAGUUUUUAUGUAGAAUGAUAAUUUUCCGCCCACCUGCAGAAGCUGCUGGUAGAUACAUCUUACGAACAAAUGCGCAGAAUGUGAGGCCUGUUCUUGGGCCUGCUGUCCUACUUUUUGAUCGGAUGAUCUUACUGUUGCUAUGCCUUCGGAACUUUUUGGAUAGACAUAUCAUCCACACAAGUAAUUUAUGGCUUCAAAUUUCUCUGGAAGCUGAACCAAAGACCAGUGUUCUGAAACAAAUUGCAUGAUCUGAUAAUCAACUGUAAGUAGGCUCAGUUUCAUUCUAUUUAGCCAGCAUGUUUCGCAUUUGUGGUGUAGUUAAAUGAGACAUCACUGCAUUCGUGUCUCAGCGUUCUCACUGAUAACGUUCUCC